RNAcentral lists this transfer RNA (73 nucleotides) under Buchnera aphidicola (Anoecia oenotherae). It matches the Rfam family "tRNA". Rfam says of the family: Transfer RNA (tRNA) molecules are approximately 80 nucleotides in length. Their secondary structure includes four short double-helical elements and three loops (D, anti-codon, and T loops). Further hydrogen bonds mediate the characteristic L-shaped molecular structure. tRNAs have two regions of fundamental functional importance: the anti-codon, which is responsible for specific mRNA codon recognition, and the 3' end, to which the tRNAs corresponding amino acid is attached (by aminoacyl-tRNA synthetases). tRNAs cope with the degeneracy of the genetic code in two manners: having more than one tRNA (with a specific anti-codon) for a particular amino acid; and 'wobble' base-pairing, i.e. permitting non-standard base-pairing at the 3rd anti-codon position. The record is from Rfam by way of RNAcentral. RNAcentral also lists the same sequence under 1 other name. Lineage: Bacteria; Pseudomonadati; Pseudomonadota; Gammaproteobacteria; Enterobacterales; Erwiniaceae.
GGCCCCUUAGCUCAGUGGUAAGAGCAAGCGACUCAUAAUCGCUUGGUCGCUGGUUCAAAUCCAGCAGGGGUCA